AAGGGCUGGUGGACCUUCCCCACAUUCCAGUUCAGGCCAGAAUGGGCCUCGCUCCCCACAGCCAGUGCUGCUCUGUUUGAGCAGAGAAGCCAGCUCCAGCCCGCUGAAAACAGACUGGACCCAAAGGAAGAGGAGACAAACCCUACUGUCGGCCUGCCCCAGGCCUUUUCCCAGAUGGGUGAGCACCUGCCCUGAAGGCACAGGAGGAAGUGAGCGUGGGGCUCAGGGACCAGGCCUGCCCUCCCAGUUAGUGCCAAGGACACAGAAACAGAGGGGAGUGCCCAUCAACCUCUGCCCAACACAGAGCCCCUUAAUGACUUUUAGAUUAAAAAGCCAAGACACGGCCAUAUCCUUAAGAUGCCUAAUGAAGCAAUUGGCCCAUCAGCCAGUCCAGGCACCCGCAUGAAGCCCCAAAUGUAGAAACUCAGCCAGUCUUGCCAGACCUGCUUAAUGCAAAAUUGGUAAUGUCAUUUACAAGCCUCUCACACGCAGGCCUAUGAAUAAAAGAAUAAUGCUGAAAAGCAAGGCUCUCCAAUUUCUAUACAUUGCAAACAGCUCUGAGCAGUUCCUUCUUGUGCACUUGGCACAGACCUUCCACCCUGCCAGGGCUCGCCUUGAAGAUAGAGUGCCCCAAUCCUGGAGGCACAGUGGCUGGAAUUGCUGCAAAGUACCAGGAGGCAGGAAGAUUUACCUCCCUGGCCCUGGAGCUCCUUCCAGCCACACAACUCCAGGGAGGCUCAGAGGCCAGCCCUCGGACCCCAAGGCCAGAAGACAUGUAAACAGUGACAUAAAUGCACCCCAACCGCCUCUGUCAAGCAUCUUGUAAUGCUUCUCCACUCCUGCUGCAAAGGCUGCUGGAAUUUUCUGCCUCUACUGCCCCCAUUAAAUCAGCUGCCCGCGGAAAACAUGUCCAUCCUGUGGAGGCCAGGCUCAGAGCCACCCCUGCACCCCCGGCACACUCUGCAGAGAACCCUUGCUCCAGGGCUGGCCCCGAGCACAGACUCUCCCCCAAGGCAUUUCUGCAGCACAUUAAAGAAAGAACAAAGGAGAGAAAGGAGGGAAAAGCCAGUCUCUCCGGAUUCCAAAUGAGAAGAUGAUGAAGUGUUCAGAAGGGAGAGAGCCUUUUCAAAGGACUUUUCAUCCAGCGCCAGCACGGUGUGAGAGAAUCAAAACAGAGGAGUUCUGUGUCAAUAGGACGGAUCCCUCCAAGGCUGCCAGUAUGUUGGAGUCCUGGAAGAGAGAGAUGAGCCAGGGCAGUGCGCUCCACAAACCCUGAAAGACCAGGUUGAAAGUUCUCCCACAAUGAAGGCUGCUUUUGGAGCACAGGUGGCAGCCUGCACAGGCUCGGGGGCAGGAGCAAUUGCUGUGCCAGGGGUCUCUGGAUCACAGCCUCUCUUGGGCUGUACUGUGUUGGGGGAAGAUCCUCAAAUUCCCUUAUGAUUAAGGGUGCUGUACUGGAUGAAUUCCCGGGUCUUUUUUAGUUCCAGCUCUCUGGGGUGGUAACCUUUCUUAUUUGAAAUGCAAAAAUAUGUACUAACAAAUAUUUAUCAAGCCUCUAGCACAGCCAUCCACACAAAGGAGGUUAUUCAUAAAUAUUGGACAGUUUAUUAAUUGAUUGUUAUUACUGCCGCCUUACAGCUGCUCUAAGGAGCCGUCUGCCACAUUUUGUCCUAAUAAAGCAAUUGGAACUAAAUAAA
Molecule: long non-coding RNA, 1697 nt
Organism: Homo sapiens (human)
Lineage: Eukaryota; Metazoa; Chordata; Mammalia; Primates; Hominidae
Source: Ensembl